UGGGGAAUAUUGGACAAUGGGCGCAAGCCUGAUCCAGCCAUGCCGCGUGAGUGAUGAAGGCCCUAGGGUUGUAAAGCUCUUUUGGCGGGGAAGAUAAUGACGGUACCCGCAGAAUAAGCCCCGGCUAACUUCGUGCCAGCAGCCGCGGUAAUACGAAGGGGGCUAGCGUUGUUCGGAAUCACUGGGCGUAAAGCGCACGUAGGCGGACUUUCAAGUCAGGGGUGAAAUCCCGGGGCUCAACCUCGGAACUGCCUUUGAUACUGGAGAUCUCGAGUUCGGGAGAGGUGAGUGGAACUGCGAGUGUAGAGGUGAAAUUCGUAGAUAUUCGCAAGAACACCAGUGGCGAAGGCGGCUCACUGGCCCGAUACUGACGCUGAGGUGCGAAAGCGUGGGGAGCAAACA
RNAcentral lists this ribosomal RNA (402 nucleotides) under uncultured prokaryote. RNAcentral's name for it is "bacterial SSU rRNA". It matches the Rfam family "Bacterial small subunit ribosomal RNA", at positions 355 to 774 of the family's 1533-position model. The record is from RNAcentral.